CCUACGGGGUGCAGCAGUGAGGAAUAUUGGUCAAUGGGCGUAAGCCUGAACCAGCCAAGUCGCGUGAGGGAUGAAGGUUCUAUGGAUCGUAAACCUCUUUUAUAAGGGAAUAAAGUGUGGGACGUGUCCUAUUGUGUAUGUACCUUAUGAAUAAGGAGCGGCUAACUCCGUGUCAGCAGACGCGGUAAUACGGAGGAUCCGAGCGUUAUCCGGAUUUAUUGGGUUUAAAGGGUGCGUAGGCGGCCUGUUAAGUUCGCGGUGAAAGUCUGUGGCUCAACCAUAGAAUUGCCGUUGAAACUGGGGGGCUUGAGUAUGUUUGAGGCAGGCGGAAUGCGUGGUGUAGCGGUGAAAUGCUUAGAUAUCACGCAGAACCCCGAUUGCGAAGGCAGCCUGCCAAGCCAUGACUGACGCUGAUGCACGAAAGCGUGGGGAUCAAACAGGAUUAGAUACCCUAGUAGUC
This 460-nucleotide ribosomal RNA is filed under the name uncultured bacterium. RNAcentral describes it as "partial 16S ribosomal RNA". It matches the Rfam family "Bacterial small subunit ribosomal RNA", at positions 338 to 795 of the family's 1533-position model. The record is from RNAcentral.